Arabidopsis lyrata subsp. lyrata is the source of this 283-nucleotide long non-coding RNA. RefSeq lists it as uncharacterized. The record is from RefSeq and is a predicted model, not a curated record. Lineage: Eukaryota; Viridiplantae; Streptophyta; Magnoliopsida; Brassicales; Brassicaceae. The transcript has 2 exons.
UAAAUCAAUGGACUUCUUAUUCUCUAUAUAUAAGUGAGGUUAUUUAGUCAUCAAAUCAAUGUGCAUGGUUCCACUCUCACCGUCCCUCAGCUCUGCAAAUCAUUUGCUUCAUUUUCUACAUGUCUUGGACUAAGCCUCACGUUGAAUUGAGGAGCUUCCCAGUGUAUUCGGAAACUGGUCCUUCUACGUUACCUUAAUCUACAUGUUUUUGUGUUUGGACAAAUGAGGAAAUGAUUCUGAUUUUUAUUGUUUUGGUAUAUUGGUUCAUGUUUGAGUGUGAAAA